RNAcentral lists this ribosomal RNA (542 nucleotides) under uncultured bacterium. Its description in RNAcentral is "bacterial SSU rRNA". It matches the Rfam family "Bacterial small subunit ribosomal RNA", at positions 777 to 1319 of the family's 1533-position model. The record is from RNAcentral.
AAUAGAUACCCCGGUAGUCCAUGCCGUAAACGUUGGGCACUAGGUGUGGGGUCCAUUCCACGGAUUCCGUGCCGCAGCUAACGCAUUAAGUGCCCCGCCUGGGGAGUACGGCCGCAAGGCUAAAACUCAAAGAAAUUGACGGGGGCCCGCACAAGCGGCGGAGCAUGCGGAUUAAUUCGAUGCAACGCGAAGAACCUUACCAAGGCUUGACAUACACCGGAAAAGUGCAGAGAUGUGCUCCCCGCAAGGUCGGUGUACAGGUGGUGCAUGGUUGUCGUCAGCUCGUGUCGUGAGAUGUUGGGUUAAGUCCCGCAACGAGCGCAACCCUCGUCCCAUGUUGCCAGCGGGUUAUGCCGGGGACUCAUGGGAGACUGCCGGGGUCAACUCGGAGGAAGGUGGGGAUGACGUCAAAUCAUCAUGCCCCUUAUGUCUUGGGCUUCACGCAUGCUACAAUGGCCGGUACAAAGGGCUGCGAUACCGUAAGGUGGAGCGAAUCCCAAAAAGCCGGUCUCAGUUCGGAUUGGGGUCUGCAACUCGACCCC